UUUUGUGACAAAAUAUUUGUCACUAAAGACAAUUUUCGGUGACAAGUAUAAAGUUGUCAUGGAAAGAUUCCAAUUUUCGCGCUCCCGGUUGCUAUUCAUUUGGGCGCGCUGAUAAAAAGUUAAAUACAUUUUUUUUUCAUUCAAAACGACAUCGUUUUUUACGGUUUUGUUUGUCACCAAAAGCAAGCCCUACUUUUACUCUUCUGCCUCUCUCCACUCCCACAGCCACGCUGCCUCUCCAUUCACGCUGAAGACUUCCAUCACCAGCGACGGUGACCCCGACCGCACACUGGAGGCCGGAGCUCCGAUCAACCCAGGUCUUUUUCUGUCUCUCUCAAUAUCUCGCCCCGUCAUGUUCUCUCCGUUGAUCACAAAAUGUCUCUGUCUCUCUCUCUUGCAUGUACGCCUCUCUCUCCAUCUCUGCAUUCUCUCUCUCUCUCUCUCUCUCUCUCUCUCUCUCUCUCUCUCACUUGCGUGUCUCGACCAACGACACACUUCAAGUAUAACGACAUGCUCAAUUCAAGCCCUAACUGGUCCGGUCCGAUCCAAACCCUAACUGGUUCGAUUGGCCGCCAUAUAGCUAUAGACGCCUGAUUGAUCAGGCGUCUAUAGUGAAAGGAUUAUGUUGUGUCUUGUGGUUACUAAACUUUGUCAAAAUGGCUGCGCAUCUGUGGGAGAAAGUUGAUUUCUCGUAUUGUGUAUACAGUGAUAGCAAAUUAACAUUCAUUUUCUGGAAAGCAUAAUGCAAUCUAUUUAUAUUAGUCACAUCAUGUUUCAUUGGCAUUUCGAAGUCUGGGCAGAUUGUCACGACUGCUGUUGUUUGUGCUUGAACUGCUACAAUGAGAAACUCCUUUUCAUGGAAGUAAUGCAGCUGGUGAAUGUCAGUCACAGCAGUCCCCACCACAGCAGCCCCAACCAUAACCACCCCCAUUGAGGUAUCCCCGCGUAAGACAUUGAACUGUGAGAGGGUCUAUCAGGUAGGUAAGGAGAUGAGUUGCUUUUUGGAAGCUAACCAAGAUGGAGUUGCAGACUUUUUGGUAGUUAUUUUUGGAAGCUAACCAAGAUGGAGUUGAAGACUUUUUGGUAGUUAAAUGAAUAACUUGUUUUGAGUUCUUUUUGGAUAUGGAUGUUUUGCAAUUUCGAUAAUGUUGUCAAGUUUGAAGUGGUUAUUGUUGGAGGAUGAAUGUUUUAAAAGGUUUUGAAGUUGGAUGAUGAAUGGUGAUUUAAUGGAUAUUUGAUUUGAAUGAUAUUUUGUUUCUUCGCAAUUUAAA
Molecule: RNA transcript, 1271 nt
Organism: Rhododendron vialii
Lineage: Eukaryota; Viridiplantae; Streptophyta; Magnoliopsida; Ericales; Ericaceae
Exons: 3
Source: RefSeq, a predicted model, not a curated record